CACUAAGAAGCUAUGCAGCAGCAAUAGCCUUUUAAGCUGGAGACAGGUGAUUAUAACCACCCUUAGUGA
This 69-nucleotide transfer RNA is filed under the name Adelastes hylonomos (Neblina frog). RNAcentral describes it as "tRNA-Lys". It matches the Rfam family "tRNA". From Rfam's summary of the family: Transfer RNA (tRNA) molecules are approximately 80 nucleotides in length. Lineage: Eukaryota; Metazoa; Chordata; Amphibia; Anura; Microhylidae. The record is from RNAcentral.